AUAAUUAAAACUAAAUAACCUAAAACUUAAAGCUAUAUGUAGAGGUAUUAAAAAGACAAAAACACAAAACAAAAUCACUAAAACUAUAACCAAAAUUAAAAAUUUUUUGUUAAACGUAAUCCUAGUUUAGUUAACAUUCAUCUGGACAAGCAUGCUGCAGACUUCCAUUCUCUCCUUCAUUUGUUUUCAAACGCCUUACCACUACAAGCACUCACAAAUCAGGCAACCAACUUGACUUAAUUUACACACGCAAUUAUACUGCAAACAACAUUUUGGUAAAACCCCUACACAUCUCCUAAAAUUUAACCUACAUCUUCCUACCUGUGUGCCACCAACCCCUCUACCUGUUACUUUUAGACAACCUGCGCUCACUUUCACCCUUCUAUCUUUCCUCUGUAGUGUCUUCUCUCUUCCCUCACCUACCCAUUUCUCAUCUCUGGACGUUAAUGCAGCAACUGACACUUUAUGCUCUACUUUAACUUCUUAUCUAGACAAAAUAUGUCCUCUCUCCUCCAGGCCAGCACGGGCUACCCCUUCUAACCCAUGGUUAUCCGAUGUUCUUUGGUCCAAACUCAGAGCAUCAUAGAGAAAAUGGCGCAAAUCAAAAGAUCUGUCUGACCUGAGUAUGUAUCAGUCUUUGCUUUCAUCUUUCUCUGCUCAAGUCCAUUCUGCCAAAUCUUCAUAUUUUCACAACAAGACCAAUAGCACUACAGAAUUAAAUUCUCUACUCUAUCCCCCUCCAUCACCUCCCAUCACUUCUAUAACAACUGAUGAUUUCGCUACAUUCUUCACAGUCAAAACUAGUACAAUCAGUAGUCAGUUCUCAGCUCCACACACACACAAACCCAAACCAACCGCAUUCAUGCCUAACACCUCCCUCUUCUCCUACUGUAUCCAAACUUCUCCUCUCCAGCCAUCCUACAACAUGCCCACUAGACCCAAUCCCCUCAGAAGAGAGGAAAACACUACAGAGGAAAGAUAAGAGGGUAAAAGGGAGUGCAGGUUUCAUCUUAAAGUAACAGAUAGAGGGAUUGGUGGCACACAGGUAGGAAGAUGUAGGUUAAAUGUGAUGAAGAAAUAGUCAGAGAUGUGUAGGGGUUUUCCCAAAAUGUUAUCUGCAGUACAAUUGUGUGUGUAAAUUAAGUCAAGUUGGUUGCCUGAUUUUGUGAGUGCUUGUAGUGGUAAGGCAUUUGAAAUCAAAUGAAGCUAGGAGUGAACGGAAGUCUGCAGCAGAAGGCUUGUCCAGAUGAAUGUUAAAGUCGACAAAGACUAAAAGUGGACUGCUAUCCUAUGGAAAUGAGGACAUCAGACCAUCCAUUUCUUCUAGGAAGGUGCCCAGUUGCCCAGGAGGCCGGUAAAUUACCACAACAUGGAGUUUUAUAGGAGCUGUUACAGUAAUCGCAUGAGAUCCAAAUAAGUUAUAAUUGCAUAGGGGAGAGUGGGUUGAGUAUUUCCAAUUGUCAGAAAUGAGCAGACCAGUGCCCCCACCCCUCCCAACCUGACAAUGGGUGUGAGAGAAAGAGAAGUUCUUAGAUGGAGCAGCUGGGGUUGCUGAAUCUUCUGGAUGAAUCCAAAUCUCAGUCAAGCCCAAGAUGCUGAGUGUAGAUUGCAAAGAAAAAACAGAAAUGAAGUCAGCUUUGUUGACAGCUGACCGACAAUUCCAGAGACCCACAGCAAAAAAAAAGAGAGAGGAAGUAGAAGAUGUACAGAUAGGAUGCAGGUUAGCAAGUCUGCGAGUGAUGUUAGAGUGUUGUUGCAAGACAACCAGAAUGUAUUGAAAACACAUGGUAGAGGUGGAAGGGAGAGGACACAAAGGAGUGUUUGCAAAGGGAGAAAAGUGGGUACCUAAAUAUGUUGCCAGGUUUCGUUGCUCGGUUAAAGUUGUGCAGGUAAAUUCGAAGGUCUUUAAACUCGUAGGUCUUCACAGGCUGAACACAAGGGCUGAAUGCUUCCGCUGAUCCUUCCGCCUCAGCUGACAGACAACAAACAAAUACACAGCCACCCGACACUUCAGAGAAAACAGCUGUGGCCGCCUUCUUAAAUUAGCACACCCAAAAGUCUAUAGCAGGGCAAUUGCUAAAAAUGAAACUAAAGUUUGCACUUAAGUGCAGGAAUGGAGCAAUUUAAAUAACAAUAAUAAUAAGUAACCUAAAUAAUAAUAUAAAGUAAUUAUUAAAUAAUAAUAAAUAACAUUUUCUUCAUUUUCCCCAAUAUUUCUGUCUCUCCCAUUUUUUCCCCCUUGUACCUUCUUUACAAGCAGGUCUAAUGUUAUAAACAGAACCGUGUCCACUAAAACAACCACCUCAUUGCAAUUUGUUAGCACAGAAUGUUGUUAUUUAGCCAUAAUAUGACUUAAAUACCAUAUUUUAAAA
Cyprinus carpio carpio is the source of this 2372-nucleotide long non-coding RNA. NCBI's taxonomy places the organism in Eukaryota, Metazoa, Chordata, Actinopteri, Cypriniformes, Cyprinidae. The record is from Ensembl.